RNAcentral lists this transfer RNA (90 nucleotides) under Streptomyces cirratus. Its description in RNAcentral is "tRNA-Arg". The record is from RNAcentral. Lineage: Bacteria; Bacillati; Actinomycetota; Actinomycetes; Kitasatosporales; Streptomycetaceae.
GCCCUGGGCCAGCUCGGCGGAGCCGCCGCCUCGGCCGCCGAGGAGUUGCUUGACCAGCGCCGAGGCGUUCAGACCCGCCUUCCGGGCCGC